UAUAAGUUGGCAGAUUAGUGCAUUUGAUUUAGAUUCAAUAUAUGAAUAAUUUCACUUAUAA
Molecule: transfer RNA, 61 nt
Filed under: Haemopis sanguisuga
Lineage: Eukaryota; Metazoa; Annelida; Clitellata; Hirudinida; Haemopidae
Description: tRNA-Leu
Source: RNAcentral